Molecule: RNA transcript, 3748 nt
Organism: Glycine soja
Lineage: Eukaryota; Viridiplantae; Streptophyta; Magnoliopsida; Fabales; Fabaceae
Exons: 6
Source: RefSeq, a predicted model, not a curated record
CAAGACUCAAGCAAUGUACAACUUAGACCUAUUUUCAUUACUCACUCUCCUCCACCCCUUAUCCUUCUCUCCCCGGAUACUUGCGAUCUCAUCAUGCAUAAUCAAAAAAGUAGUUGAGGGAUGAAGUUGGAACUGCGAGACUUUGUCUUCAAGUGAAGAAAAGAAAAAUUGUAUGUUUUACUACCAUUUGUUUUUUUUUUUCAAGGUACUACCAUGCUUGUAAAUUACAGUAUCAGUUACAUUUGCUAUUUAAAUAAUCAGAAAAAAAUAGUGAACAAUAAUGCAGGUAACGUACGUAGCUGCAAUUGUGACUGCCACAGAUUCUGAACACAUGCAAUCAAGUUUGGAGUCACUUCUUUCUACCUAGUUUUUUCUACUCCUUUUGAUUAACAGUUUUUCUUUUAGUUAUAUCAAUAUGCAGCUAAAUUAUUUUGAACAUAAGUUACCCUUCAUAUUUUUUUAACAUAUAAUGCCAGGAUAUAAUAUUACUAUUAAGCAUGUUUGGAUCUACCUUAUAUUUCAAAAUUGCACCAUUUUCACAUUUAGCAUAGAAGUUUAUAUGGUUAACUUCUGAUUUUCACAUUCUAUAUACACGUUCUAAGCUGAUGGACUUGGAACCAAACACGUACUUAACUGGCAAGCACUGUUGCGUUAGGUACUUUGGCCCAAUUGCAUCAGACAUGUCACUAUGGCUCUUGUUAAGAUCGUGAUCUUGAAAACCAAACCUUAGGUUAGGUUUGCACUAAAGAACAAAGGAGAAAAUAAAUUUGUGUUUCCUCCUUAGCCAAAAUAAAUAAUCAUGUCUUUUAUUUUUUUUAAUUCUUUAUUAAUUUAUUUUGAGGUUGUUGGCCAAGCCAGUUGUAUAUUCUGGAGUUUUCUGUACCAUGGCUUGUGAUAUAAUUGUUGCUCUAAAACUAAAGCUGAUAACUUUUGGAAAAUAAUUCAUUUCUUUCUACCCCACUAUUUUUUUUUUGUUCCCAAAAAAGAAGUUAUAUAUAUCAACACUAGAGGUUGAGCACUGAGCUCAGCAGAAGUUUCAGAUCACACUGAGUGGGUGGUGACAAUGAAAGGUGAGGAAGGAUUCCUUCUAGGAGUUAUGUAUGUAUGCUUCCUGAAAUUCAGAUGCUAUUGAUCCCAAAGCAGAAUCAGAAACAACCAAACCUAUCACUUUUCUCAUUAUUGUUGGAGUUGGAGUUGGACCACAAGAAUUGUUUUGAGAAUCAUUGUUUUCUAGUGUCGAUAUAUGGAUGGGGAAUUGCAUCCACUCAUAUUGUAAAGUAUUUUAUAUUAAUUAUUCAUUAUUAUGGAUUGUAAGGUGGUGUACAUUUAAAUAAUUAUUAUGAUAAUAAAUUUUAUUGGAAUUUUAAAAAAUUUGAUUUUGCUAGCUUAAGUAGAAAUGCAAAAUUGUGACAUGUAACCGACUUCCAUCUUCUUUUGAAGUUUAUGCUACAUCUCAGGCUUUUUGUUUGCAUGUAACACUUAAAAAGUGUGAGAUAUAUAUCAUUAGGGUGUUGCUAGGUGCACAUAACAUUAUUGUUGGUGCACCCAGCACUUAAGCAAAAAAGAUGCAAAUACCCCUUAAUUUAAAUUAAAACUUGUACACCCAGCAUCACCAGCUCUUCUGCGCGUUCCUUCCGCUGUGACCUUCUUGCUUCCUGCUUCCUUCUUUGCAAGUUUGGUUCCGCGCCUCCUCCCUUCCGCCGUUCAUCUUCUUGUGAACGUACGUCUUUGACAUUGCCAACGGCGUGGUUGCUCCUGCGCUUUCGUCUUCCUUUUGCAACUACUGUUCCUCUUGCGCAUUCGUCUUCUUCUCUUUUGUUGCUGCUCCAUCGAGAUCAUGGUUAAGACUAGAGGAUUAGGCCAUGCCUUAGGUAGGGUUGUUGGCAGAGGUCUGGGGAGAGGGGAUGGUGAUGAUUCUGACGGUGCUCCCCAACACCGAAGGCCGACUGCAUCGGCACACAGGCGACGGGUAACUGUCAUUGUUGACGAUGUUGUGCCUGCGGUACCUGCAGACUCGUCUGCGGUACCAGAGACAGAGGCUGUUGUAGCUAGGGAUGAACCCAUGGUAGAUGCUGACGCACAGGACACCGGUCCAGAUACUGACGCACAAGAUAUUGGUACACAGGAUGCUGCAGAUGAGCCUGAGGGAUUUCUUGGUGGACCCAAGGACCCAUCAGUGCUUACGGAGUAUGCUGACCAUGUUGCGGCCAACGUAUGGUCUGGACAGGAAUGUCCUGAGUUGAUGUUAUGCUCCCAUGGGAGGAAGGAACAUAACUUAGGCAGGCUUGUUCCUGCAAUUGAUGACAUGGUUGCUGGGAUAGGAUUAAGUCCUUUGAUCGCGUGUUCGAUAGACACCGGCGAUCGGGGACUUAUAUCCUCCUUUGCCGAUAGGUGGCACUAGGAGACUUCUAGUUUCCAUCUUCCUGUGGGGGAGGUUUCGAUCACGCUGGACGAAGAUGCAUCUCUUCUCCAUUUGCCUAUCGUUGGCACAUUCCAUGACUUCCAGCCUCUACGCACCGACGAGGUGGUGGUGCUGUUGGUUGAGUUACUGAUGGUCUUAGCAGAGGUGGCCAUGACUGAGACAGGCCAAUAUGGUGGACCAUAUGUACGCCUGCAGUGUCUGCGAGACGUAUACCAGUGCAGAUGUCAGACGCAGCACUGGAUAGCUGCCGCUCGUGCUUAUCUUCUACAUCUUUUGGGUUGCACUCUUUUUGCUAAUAAGAGUGCAACCCAUGUUCAUGUCUCACACUUACAGGCCCUGUGUUACCUUACUCUUGCUGGGCGGUAUGCAUGGGGAGCUGCUGACCUCGUCCAUAUGUACGAUCAGCUUAAUGAUGCCAGUCUCAACACCAGCCGACAGCUUGCUGGUUACAUCACCUUGUUAUAGUGUUGGAUAUACGAGCACUUUCCAUCAGUUGCGGAGUGCAAUGCUGAUCUGGACUACGACGAGGUGUCACCACAUGUGUGUUGGUGGAUUACAACAAAGAAGACUAUGAAGAAGGUAUCUACAGCGAUGUACAGGCAGCGCCUGGAUCAUUUGAGGAUCCCAGAUGUCUGUUGGAUGCCAUAUACGGAGCACCAACCUGUGCAGGACUUUCAUCCGAUUUCGUGCUUCUCAGGACAGCUCCGCUGGGGGCCUGUUGUUAUCAGAUACAGACUGGAGAGGGUUAUGCACCAGUUCAGCUACGUCCAGUGCAUUCUUGCACACUCUGUCCAUUCAUGGGUGUCAUAUGAUGACGUGGACAAUACUUGGAUGCACUACUCAGACCAUCUGGUGGCAGCAGGUAAUCUAUGUGUUAUGCCAGUCAGUGUGCACCUGACUACAUAGACUGGUUCUUCGUCAUAUCGCAUCCAUUCAUGAUUGUGCCAUAGACGGAUCCUCCUCGAGAUGCAUAUGCGAUGCAGCCCAAUCAUAUCCCUCAUGAGGCAGCAUUGGCAUCGACACAAGCGGAUCUUGAUGCGGAUGAGCCCAGACAUGCAGUGGAGGCUUGCCAUGCGAUCACGGAGGCGUUGGAGCAGCAUCUAAAUGCACCAGGCACAUCCACACAUGAAGAGGUCAUCCAAAAAUGCCUAAGCAUUGUGAGGGGUGUCACAGAAGACCGCAAUGUGUAUGUGAGGUCUCGACGUAGGUGCCACACGGAUCAACAAUAAUUUAUUCACACUUUAGAUGUCAUUAGUUUUUUACGAUGUAUUUGACUUAACAUUUUGUAUAUUUUAAGUUAUUUUGAUUAAUAAUAUUAGUUUAUAA